GGAAUAGCUCAGUUGGUAGAGCAUCGGUCUCCAAAACCGAGUGUCGGGAGUUCGAGCCUCUCUUCC
RNAcentral lists this transfer RNA (66 nucleotides) under Phocaeicola massiliensis. It matches the Rfam family "tRNA". From Rfam's summary of the family: Transfer RNA (tRNA) molecules are approximately 80 nucleotides in length. The record is from RNAcentral. RNAcentral also lists the same sequence under 10 other names. Lineage: Bacteria; Pseudomonadati; Bacteroidota; Bacteroidia; Bacteroidales; Bacteroidaceae.